Non-coding RNA from Podarcis lilfordi (Lilford's wall lizard), 76 nucleotides. The record is from the annotation of a GenBank genome assembly. NCBI's taxonomy places the organism in Eukaryota, Metazoa, Chordata, Lepidosauria, Squamata, Lacertidae.
GGACAUGACCAUAGCUCAGUUGUAGAGCAUUUGUUUUGCAUACAGAAGGUCCCAUGUUCAAACUAUGACAUUUGCA